Molecule: ribosomal RNA, 524 nt
Filed under: uncultured bacterium
Lineage: Bacteria
Description: bacterial SSU rRNA
Rfam family: Bacterial small subunit ribosomal RNA
Source: RNAcentral
AACUAACGCUGGCGGCGUGCCUAACACAUGCAAGUCGUACGAGAAAGUUGGCUUCGGCCGAUGAGUAAAGUGGCGCACGGGUGAGUAAUGCGUGGAUAAUCUGCCCUUUAGUUGGGAAUAACGUACCGAAAGGUGCGCUAAUACCUGAUAAUACUGCAUAACUACUGUUGUGUAGUCAAAGAAGGCCUCUGUUUACAAGCUUUUGCUGAAGGAUGAGUCCGCGUACCAUUAGCUGGUUGGUGGGGUAAUGGCCCACCAAGGCUACGAUGGGUAGGGGUUCUGAGAGGAAAGCCCCCCACGCUGGUACUGAGACACGGACCAGACUCCUACGGGAGGCAGCAGUAAGGAAUAUUGGGCAAUGGUCGAAAGACUGACCCAGCCAUGCCGCGUGCAGGAUGAAGGCCCUAUGGGUUGUAAACUGCUUUUAGCCGGGAAUAAACACCCGUUUUAUAACCGGGCCCGAAGGUACCGGCUGAAUAAGCAUCGGCUAACUCCGUGCCAGCAGCCGCGGUAAACUGUCUACG